Molecule: ribosomal RNA, 103 nt
Filed under: Mesocricetus auratus (golden hamster)
Lineage: Eukaryota; Metazoa; Chordata; Mammalia; Rodentia; Cricetidae
Source: RNAcentral
GUUCUAGAGCUUUCCUGAACGCGGCCGAUCUCGUCUGAUCUCGGAAGCUAAGCAGGGUCGGGCCUGGUUAGUACUUGGAUGGGAGCUCCACUUCUUUUGAGUC